ACCGCCUCUGACUAAAGGAGGAGGAAGAAGUGGUAACGGUAGGUCAGCAUGCCCCGAAUUAUCUGGGCUACACGCGGGCUACAAUGGGUGGGACAAUGGGUAUCGACACCGAAAGGUGAAGGCAAUCUCCUAAACCCAUCCGUAGUUCGGAUUGUGGGCUGCAACUCGCCCACAUGAAGCUGGAAUCUGUAGUAAUCGUGUCUCAAAAUGGCACGGUGAAUAUGUCCCUGCUCCUU
This 236-nucleotide ribosomal RNA is filed under the name uncultured Methanomicrobiales archaeon. RNAcentral's name for it is "partial 16S ribosomal RNA". It matches the Rfam family "Archaeal small subunit ribosomal RNA", at positions 1103 to 1338 of the family's 1478-position model. The record is from RNAcentral. Lineage: Archaea; Methanobacteriati; Methanobacteriota; Methanomicrobia; Methanomicrobiales.